This is a long non-coding RNA of Paramisgurnus dabryanus, 1814 nucleotides long. RefSeq lists it as uncharacterized. The record is from RefSeq and is a predicted model, not a curated record. Lineage: Eukaryota; Metazoa; Chordata; Actinopteri; Cypriniformes; Cobitidae.
UGAAUUCAUCCACUACGCUAGGUGGCGGCAUUCAGCUCUAAUCUCUCCGGUCCCCCACUCCAGGGAAAACGAAUGAGAGAUGCGAGUAGAAGGCAAAUUAAUAUGCUGAAUCUCCCCACAGUAAACGCAAUGUUUUAAAGUGUUUAUUAUUACAGUGCCUUCGUUAUAACGCGCUCUGAUCUACUCUGCCUGAUCUGCAACACACUGUCGUUGAUGGAUAUACGAUUUUUUAAGACGUCAGAAUUAAGAAGUGCAAAUAGGGAGAGAGGAGGGUGGAGAGAGAUCACAUACAGAGAGAGAGAGAGAGAGAGAGAGCGAAAGAAAGAAAAAAAAGAAAAAAGAAAGAAAGAAAGAGAACGCUUCCAUAAGCAGGUCGCUCAGGAAAAGAGUAUGAUAUAAAAGUGAACUACCAAAGCUACAUUGAAGUCGUGGAUCUCAGCUUUUCACACAAGACUCAAACUGUGUGUUUGACCAUAAAAGAAGCUUUGGCUCUGCAACCAAUGGAAAUGGUUGGUGAAAUCAGAGUGAGAAUAAUAGAAAAUCCAAGCUCAGAGAUAGUGAAGGUGAACAACAAUGAUGUUGAGCUACGGAAGAUAACAUCAGCAGAUUCUACAGGUCAGAUUAAGCUGGCACUUUGGGAACAACAAAUACCCCUUGUUAACCAAGGACGAUCUUAUUCCUUCACCAACCUGGGAGUGAGAGACAGAAAUGGCCUAUACCUAACAUGCACUCGAGAAACUUCUAUAAAUGCCAUACCACAUAUGCACCUACCCAAGGAAAUGCUUGUGAAACCACACCAAGAACAAGACGAACAGCUGUUCAGCAUUAAAGGGGAAAUCACUGGGGUCUGCCUUAAACAACAGUGGCAAUGUGGUAACUGCAAUGGUCGUUUCAACCCUGCUGAAGACAAUCUUGAUUAUGUACGAUGUGAACAAUGUAAACUACUGCAGAAAGCAAAUUCUUUCCUCAGAAUUGUCAGUGGAACUCUAAAAAUUGAACACAACAAAAUGAGCACCAAACUAACUCUGCCUAAUUCUGCAUUACAUGCCUUUCAGCAGAAACAACACAUUGAUGAUUGUGUUAACACAAAUACACUAGAAAUACACAUUAUGAAAUGUGAGACCAUGCUUGUUCAUUACAAUGACAAACACAUUGUAACAGAAAUGUCACCUUGUUCUAAGGAAUCACAAUUAAGCAGCUCAGAGACAGAAAUGACACUAACAGAUAACGAACCACAGUGCAGUAGCUGGGAAGCUGACCCAACACCAUAGGGUUCUUUAAAUCUUACCUCGGAGAUCAUGAACACUGCAGAAUUUAGCUCCAACCCUAAUCAAACUUACUCACCUGUGAUUUUGUUUGUGAUCAUGAAAACGUUGAUUAGCUUGCUGAGCUGUGUUUGAUCAGGGUUGGACCUAAACUUUGCAGUCAUCUGUACCUCCGGGGUAAGAUUUGAAGAAGGGGUGACAUUCACCAAAAACAACAAAAAGAGUAGACUGAACAACCACAGAAGACAAAUAUGUUUUCAGAAAUUGGAAGCCUUGAACAUUAUUUUUCCUUUUCAUUUAAACAUCUUUUCAUAUUAUAUUAAACAUUUAUAUUUUUCAUUAAUAGAGUUUAUAUCUACACUCACAGUAGAUAACAAAAAUACACAUGGCUUUCAAAAAGUUUUUUUUUACAUUUGCUGCCAAUCACAGUCAUUGCAGCAGUCUUUUUCUGUUGUUGCUCAUAGUUCGAUUCAAACAACAGAGUUGUCUAUAAUUGUAACGUGUAAUCAAUAAAACAAACACUAUACCCUGUUUGGAGCAUUUCAACAA